UCCUACGGGGGGCAGCAGUAGGGAAUUUUCGUCAAUGGGCGCAAGCCUGAACGAGCAAUACCGCGUGAACGAGGAAGGUCUUCGGAUCGUAAAGUUCUGUUGAAGGGGAAAAAGAGCGGAGAGAGGAAAUGGUCUCCGAUUGAUAUUACCCUUCGAGGAAGUCACGGCUAACUACGUGCCAGCAGCCGCGGUAAUACGUAGGUGGCGAGCGUUAUCCGGAAUGAUUGGGCGUAAAGGGUGCGUAGGCGGCCUGCUAAGUCUGGAGUGAAAGGUACCGGCUCAACCGGUACAGGCUCUGGAAACUG
RNAcentral lists this ribosomal RNA (305 nucleotides) under uncultured bacterium. RNAcentral's name for it is "bacterial SSU rRNA". It matches the Rfam family "Bacterial small subunit ribosomal RNA", at positions 337 to 635 of the family's 1533-position model. The record is from RNAcentral.